AACGAACGCUGGCGGCAUGCCUAACACAUGCAAGUCGAACGAGACCUCCGGGUCUAGUGGCGCACGGGUGCGUAACAACUGGGAAGUAGCCCUUAGGUAAGGAAUACCUCACCGUAAGGGGUGCUCAUACCGGUUAAUGUCUUCGCACCAAAGAUUUAUGGCGUUUUGAUGGGUGCGCGUUGGAUUCGCCAGUUGGUAGGGUAAAAGCCGACCAACGCGUCGAUUCAUAGCUGGUUUGGUAGGAUGACCAGGCAGACUGGGACUGAGACACAGCCCAGACUGCUACGCGAGAGAGCGGUGGGGAAUAUAGGGGAAUGAGCGAGAGCGUGAUCCAGCAGUGCCGGGUGAGUGGGGAAGGGCUUUGGGUUGUAAAUCUGUUUUACACGGGAUGAUAAUGACGGUACCGGGAGAAUAAGCUCCGGCUAACUACGUG
Molecule: ribosomal RNA, 433 nt
Filed under: uncultured bacterium
Lineage: Bacteria
Description: partial 16S ribosomal RNA
Rfam family: Bacterial small subunit ribosomal RNA
Source: RNAcentral